CUCCCUCCGGAGCAAGAUUUGUCUAUAAAGUUAUUUUUAGAUGCCUUGUGAGCAAAUUUCGUGGGAAGACAGGCAGCCAGCAGCCCCCGGCGAGCUGCUCACCCACCCCUCUCAGCUUACAGAGGGUAAUUAGCAGAUAAUCAUGCCAAAAUCACAGACUCCAACGGGCUAAUUUUAUCCUGUGUGCUGACAUCGGUGAGCUCGUUGCAAGGUUGGUGUGGAAGGUGUUGGAGAUUUGAUUCAGUAACGUAUUCAGGCACGUGCUUUGAGGGAGAAAACAGGUCCACUCCCUCCCCAGAAGGUGCUGAUGCUUUCCAGUGACUGAGGAGAUGCCCAAGACUAAAUGAAAUGUUCACAAGUGAAGAAAACUUGUGUCCACAGCCCACUGCUCCUCUAAUGGAAUUUUACAGCCCAUGAGGUUGUUAAUCCACGUUCUAAUUCAGCUCUGAAAGUGACCAAAAGUUUUUAAUCUCCUAAAUAUUUUCAAUAAUUCACCUAGACACUUGGAAACAGUAGGGAAAAAAAGAACAGCAGCAUGUGAAUGAAUGUGAUUAACGGGUCAUGGUUAUUCCCAGAUCUUUCUUUUUAAUAUAAU
RNAcentral lists this long non-coding RNA (595 nucleotides) under Junco hyemalis (dark-eyed junco). RNAcentral describes it as "lncRNA (ENSJHYG00000011900.1)". The record is from RNAcentral. Lineage: Eukaryota; Metazoa; Chordata; Aves; Passeriformes; Passerellidae.